This 464-nucleotide ribosomal RNA is filed under the name uncultured bacterium. Its description in RNAcentral is "partial 16S ribosomal RNA". It matches the Rfam family "Bacterial small subunit ribosomal RNA", at positions 339 to 795 of the family's 1533-position model. The record is from RNAcentral.
CUACGGGCCGCUCCAGUGGGGAAUUUUGGACAAUGGGCGCAAGCCUGAUCCAGCCAUUCCGCGUGAGUGAAGAAGGCCUUCGGGUUGUAAAGCUCUUUCGCAAGGGAAGAAAACUUAUCCUCUAACAUAGGGUGAGGUUGACGGUACCUUGAUAAGAAGCACCGGCUAAGUACGUGCCAGCAGCCGCGGUAAUACGUAGGGUGCGAGCGUUAAUCGGAAUUACUGGGCGUAAAGCGUGCGCAGGCUGUUUUGUAAGUCAGAUGUGAAAUCCCCGAGCUCAACUUGGGAACUGCGUUUGAAACUACAAGACUAGAAUAUGUCAGAGGGGGGUAGAAUUCCAUGUGUAGCAGUGAAAUGCGUAGAGAUGUGGAGGAAUACCAAUGGCGAAGGCAGCCCCCUGGGAUAAUAUUGACGCUCAUGCACGAAAGCGUGGGGAGCAAACAGGAUUAGAUACCCACGUAGUC